Molecule: ribosomal RNA, 485 nt
Filed under: uncultured soil bacterium
Lineage: Bacteria
Description: bacterial SSU rRNA
Rfam family: Bacterial small subunit ribosomal RNA
Source: RNAcentral
AGGACGAACGCUGGCGGCGUGCUUAACACAUGCAAGUCGAGCGGAAAGGCCUUUCGGGGUACUCGAGCGGCGAACGGGUGAGUAACGCGUGAGUAAUCUGCCCAUCGCUUCAGGAUAGCCAUCGGAAACGGUGAUUAAUACUGGAUAUGACAUUCCUUCGCAUGUUGGGGUGUGGAAAGUUUUUUCGGCGGUGGAUGUGCUCGCGGCCUAUCAGCUUGUUGGUGGGGUAAUGGCCUACCAAGGCUUUGACGGGUAGCCGGCCUGAGAGGGUGACCGGCCACACUGGGACUGAGACACGGCCCAGACUCCUACGGGAGGCAGCAGUGGGGAAUAUUGGACAAUGGGCGGAAGCCUGAUCCAGCAACGCCGCGUGAGGAUGACGGCCUUCGGGUUGUAAACCUCUUCAGCACAGACGAAGUUUGUCUUUUGGUGUAAGUGACGGUAUGUGCAGAAGAAGGACGCCAACUACGUGCCAACACGACCGC